AUUGAACGCUGGCGGCAGGCCUAACACAUGCAAGUCGAACGAGUGGCGGACGGGUGAGUAAUGUCUGGGAAACUGCCUGGUGGAGGGGGUUCACUACUGGAAACGGUAGCUAAUACCGCAUACCAUCAGAUGUGCCCAGAUGGGAUUAUCGAGUUGGUGGGGUAACGGCUCACCAAGGCGCCGAUCCCUAGCUGUUGUGAGAGGAGGACCGGCCACACUGGAAAUGGGCCACGGCCCAGACUCCGACGGGAGGCAGCAGUGGGGAAUAUUGAACAAUGGGAGCAAGCCGGAUGCAGCCAUGCCGCGUGUAUGGAGAAGGCCUUCGGGUUGUAAAGUACUUUCAGCGGGGAGGCGUUACCCGCAGAAGAAGCACCGGCUAAUUCCGUGCCAGCAGCCGCGUAAUAC
This 405-nucleotide ribosomal RNA is filed under the name uncultured bacterium. Its description in RNAcentral is "partial 16S ribosomal RNA". It matches the Rfam family "Bacterial small subunit ribosomal RNA", at positions 30 to 526 of the family's 1533-position model. The record is from RNAcentral.